GUCUACGGCCAUGUCACCCUGAACGUGCCCGAUCUCAUCUGAUCUCAGAAGCUAAGCAGGGUCGGGCCUGGUUAGUACUUGGAUGGGAGACCACCUAGGAAGACCAGGUGCUGUAGGCA
Molecule: ribosomal RNA, 119 nt
Filed under: Pteropus alecto (black flying fox)
Lineage: Eukaryota; Metazoa; Chordata; Mammalia; Chiroptera; Pteropodidae
Source: RNAcentral